This 2276-nucleotide long non-coding RNA is filed under the name Diabrotica virgifera virgifera (western corn rootworm). RNAcentral's name for it is "uncharacterized LOC126892681". Lineage: Eukaryota; Metazoa; Arthropoda; Insecta; Coleoptera; Chrysomelidae. The record is from RNAcentral.
AAUAGUACAGUUUAGGUAUUACAGUUAGGAUUUUUAUUACCUUUUACCUUUGUGCAUACCACGAGUAGAUGUGGGCUUGCAAUUAUCUCUUUUACCUUUUAGCAUACCCUAUACUAUGCGUAUAGUGCGCUUGCUAGUAUCUUUACCUAGAUUGUGUCUUCCUAUCGCUACGAAAGCAAGUAGACGUUAUGAAUUAUCUUUUACCUUGAGUUUUAGAUGUUGAUAUCCGGAACCAUAUCAUAUAUGUUUAGGUUUGUAGUAAUGUAGUUUUAACUGGUCCUAAUGAAUUAGUCCCUCAUUGAAUUCUGGGGUGAUUAAUAGAAUUUGUUCGCUCUAGUGUCAAUGUUGGGUAAAGUUAAUAGGAUGCGUUUAGGUUAAUUGUUGUUUAUGGUUCUUAGUUAUAUUGUGUUAAGGGUUGUUAAUACACACCUGUAAUUUAGUUUUAAUCAUGGGUUUACUAACACUUGAGAAUGUAGAUAGUAAGUAGUGUUAAGAGUUAACUUACUCUAUAAGGUUGUAUAAUUAUAUUUAGAAUGUUAGUGAUUAACGCGUAAUUAUUUGUUUUUCUCUAUCUUUGGUUUUACUAAAUUAAAGUAAAUUAUCUUGUUGAAUAACUUAUGUCAGUCAGUUACGUAUGUCGGUUAGUUACACAUCCCUUCUAUGUUCUAUACUUUCUGCAAAUACCAUUAAAGAUAUCUCGCGUGGCCUCUAUACUGUCUGUAUGACUUCGUCCUGAUUUUUGUUCUGUCUCCUCAGCAAAUAGUAUGGCGGUUGAGCCUACCAUAAUUAUGGUUUUGUACCACAACGUUUCUCCUUUACCGUGUCCAUCCUCAGGUUCGCCUAGCGUCAGUUAGUUCUGGAAAAUAAACAAAAAAGGAAACUUGUAGAGUUUUCCUUUUUUUGCUGGAGAAGAGGGAGAAUGUAGCGAUCACGCUACUAAUUAAAUUAAUUUAAUUAAAAUUGGAUUAAAAUAUACCCCUCUACAAAAUCCUUGGGUGACGCCCGCGAAGAUCCAACAACGAUUUUUUCGGUGCACAGGCGCGCCAAUAGAAAGAAAAUCGAUGAUUGUCGAUUUCUAGUUUAGUUGGUCACGAACUCACAAAGAGGCAACACAUCGUCAUUACUUAGGUGACGGAGUUUGGGCAAAAUUGGGAAAAUAUAUAACUAAAAGACCUCGAACAUCAGCCAAUAACCCAUACUAAUAAUAAUCAAGCAGUAGUUAUAUCUGGAGACUUAUUUACAAGAAAGGAAAAAGGUUAUAAUACCGCCGAUGUGUUGCUUUGCUCAAAUUCCGUCCCGUAGCUACUUGUCACAUAGACACUUAGCCUAGUCAAUUUAUAUAGAUUGUAUCAUCAUUUAAUGUGCCAUCAUAUAAAUAUGUGCCAGUUACUGUAAGCAGCUAGGGUAUGGGUUACCCCUAGAGUUACUUUUGAUUGGAUUGGAUAGUACCUAUUUCACAACAUCCAGGAUUGGAUUUAUCACCACAGCAGCCCACUAGUUUUUGCCGUGCCAAGAGGAAAUUCAUUCCUAUCUGGACCUUUUUAAAUAGGACUUGUGGUUAAGAUAAGUUGUUUAAUCUUAUUAUUUACAUAUUUUGGGUACUCUAUAGUUGCUUGCACUGUAAACUUCUUGUAUGCAUACAAUUGAGGUAAACUAGGUACAUAUUUCUUGAUAGAUAGGGUUUUAGGUCGUUGGUUUUUUUUUAAUUUAAUAGAAGUAGUAGUUUCCAAUAAAUAAAAUUAGGUCUUGUUCAAUAAUCAUUAUAAAUAAAAAUUGUAGCUUAAAAAUUUGAUCGGGAAGGGGUCGUUAAAGGUUUGUCGCGGAUUUCAAAUAGGGAAUAUGUCUUGUAGGUUUUUACAUUGUAUAUAAAGAGUAACUGACCAACUCAUUUAUAUAACUCAUUUAUAUCACUCAUUUAUAUAACUCAUUUAUAUAACUCAUUAUAUAUUUACUUAUUAGUGUUUUUGCUAGGUGAGAUCUUUAUUAUUUUUGGUAACCGUAGCGUUCUUGUUGUGGAUCUCACUCUAGCGUAGUUCAAUUUAGGAAAUAAUUACUAACUUUUUAGUUGUAAGGACUUAGUGCUAUUCUGACGGACUUUUGCUUUGGAUUUUGAUUUUAAUACCUUUGCUUGGCCAGUGAUAGUGGAUAAUUGCUUGUUAAGUGGCCUUUGCGGUCCUAUUUGAUCUUUUCCCCAUCCACUAUCACUGUUAUCACGUUGCGUUAUAUGUAAAUUGUUAGUAUUUAACAUUUGUUAUUAAUAUAUUUGUAUGUAUUAA